UAGGGAAUCUUCCGCAAUGGGCGAAAGCCUGACGGAGCAACGCCGCGUGAGUGAUGAAGGUCUUCGGAUCGUAAAACUCUGUUAUUAGGGAAGAACAAAUGUGUAAGUAACUAUGCACGUCUUGACGGUACCUAAUCAGAAAGCCACGGCUAACUACGUGCCAGCAGCCGCGGUAAUACGUAGGUGGCAAGCGUUAUCCGGAAUUAUUGGGCGUAAAGCGCGCGUAGGCGGUUUUUUAAGUCUGAUGUGAAAGCCCACGGCUCAACCGUGGAGGGUCAUUGGAAACUGGAAAACUUGAGUGCAGAAGAGGAAAGUGGAAUUCCAUGUGUAGCGGUGAAAUGCGCAGAGAUAUGGAGGAACACCAGUAGCGAAGGCGACUUUCUGGUCUGCAACUGACGCUGAUGUGCGAAAGCGGGGGGAUCAAACAGG
This 429-nucleotide ribosomal RNA is filed under the name Actinomycetes bacterium. RNAcentral describes it as "Actinobacteria bacterium partial 16S ribosomal RNA". It matches the Rfam family "Bacterial small subunit ribosomal RNA", at positions 355 to 776 of the family's 1533-position model. Lineage: Bacteria; Bacillati; Actinomycetota; Actinomycetes. The record is from RNAcentral.